UAGUCCACGCCGUAAACGAUGGAUACUAGCUGUCCGCUGCCUUGAGCAGUGGGCGGCCAAGCGAAAGUGAUAAGUAUCCCACCUGGGGAGUACGUUCGCAAGAAUGAAACUCAAAGGAAUUGACGGGGGCCCGCACAAGCGGUGGAGCAUGUGGUUUAAUUCGAUGAUACGCGAGGAACCUUACCAGGGCUUAAAUGCAUAUUGACAGGCUGAGAGAUCGGUUUUCCUUCGGGCAAUUUGCAAGGUGCUGCAUGGUUGUCGUCAGCUCGUGCCGUGAGGUGUCAGGUUAAGUCCUAUAACGAGCGCAACCCCUGUCGUUAGUUGCCAGCGAGUCAUGUCGGGGACUCUAACGAGACUGCCAGUGCAAACCGUGAGGAAGGUGGGGAUGACGUCAAAUCAUCACGGCCCUUACGUCCUGGGCUACACACGUGCUACAAUGGUAGGGACAGAGAGCAGCCACUGGGCGACCAGGAGCGAAUCUAUAAACCCU
Molecule: ribosomal RNA, 490 nt
Filed under: uncultured bacterium
Lineage: Bacteria
Description: bacterial SSU rRNA
Rfam family: Bacterial small subunit ribosomal RNA
Source: RNAcentral